RNAcentral lists this unclassified non-coding RNA (377 nucleotides) under soil metagenome. Its description in RNAcentral is "partial contains 5.8S ribosomal RNA, internal transcribed spacer 2, and large subunit ribosomal RNA". The stretch from base 1 to 120 matches the Rfam family "5.8S ribosomal RNA", at positions 35 to 154 of the family's 154-position model. The record is from RNAcentral.
GAUGAAGAACGUAGUGAAAUGCGAUAAGUAAUGUGAAUUGCAGAGUUUUGUGAAUCAUCGAAUCUUUGAACGCACAUUGCGCCCCUCGGUAUUCCGACGGGCAUGCCUGUCCGAGCGUCGUUUGCAACCCAUCGAGUAACACUUCUCGGUCUUGGGCGCCGUCCGCCCCCUCGGGGGAUCGGACGGGCCCCAAAGCCCUCGGCGGCCCCGCGUGCCCCGCCGGAGCGUCUUCGAAAGCAAUCGCUCCGGCGCGUCGCGCCCCGGGACCAAGCCGGCACCGCGGCCCCCCCAAAGGGGUCGCACCCCCAACACCAAACGUCUGACCUCGGAUCAGGUAGGGCUACCCGCUGAACUUAAGCAUAUCAAUAAGCGGAGGA